UGGGAUUUAGCUCAGCUGCAUAAGCACCUGCCUUGCAAGCAGGUGGUCGUGGGUUUGAUCCCCAGUACCGA
RNAcentral lists this transfer RNA (71 nucleotides) under Cavia porcellus (domestic guinea pig). It matches the Rfam family "tRNA". From Rfam's summary of the family: Transfer RNA (tRNA) molecules are approximately 80 nucleotides in length. Their secondary structure includes four short double-helical elements and three loops (D, anti-codon, and T loops). Lineage: Eukaryota; Metazoa; Chordata; Mammalia; Rodentia; Caviidae. The record is from Rfam by way of RNAcentral.